RNAcentral lists this ribosomal RNA (253 nucleotides) under uncultured bacterium. RNAcentral's name for it is "partial 16S ribosomal RNA". It matches the Rfam family "Bacterial small subunit ribosomal RNA", at positions 524 to 776 of the family's 1533-position model. The record is from RNAcentral.
UACGGAGGGUGCAAGCGUUAAUCGGAAUUACUGGGCGUAAAGCGCACGCAGGUGGCUGAGUCAGUCGAUUGUGAAAGCCCUGGGCUUAACCUGGGAAUUGCAGUCGAUACUACUCAGCUAGAGUAUGGGAGAGGGUAGUGGAAUUCCCGGUGUAGCGGUGAAAUGCGUAGAUAUCGGGAGGAACAUCGAUGGCGAAGGCAGGUCUCUGGGCAUUAACUGACGCUGAGGAGCGAAAGCAUGGGGAGCGAACAGG